ACCGCCACGGUGACUUGCAAGCAAUUCACUGCCUUAGGUACUGGACUAUCUGAAUUUCUAAUUCAGUGAUGGAAGGCUGCUGGGUGUAGUCAAGUACUUGACUUGUCGGUGCAUGUGUCAAGAUCAGAUUAACCACUCCAGUUUAGGAGCUGUGUACAGUCGUGUUUCAAUUUAGCAAAAUCUUGGCCAUGAUAGUCUUUGUGAGGAGUCACAGGACUGUUUGAGUUGAGCACGAUUCGGAUGAUCUAAUCAGGGUUGACAGUUUAACCCUGAGUCAUCCUAAACAUAGAGGUCAAAAGGAUGAAUUAUACAGUAACUAUAUUCAUGUAGGUUCUGAGUGUUGCGAUUGCGACUCUUCGACCUAUCCAGACAUCGAGUACCAUUGCUAGAUGGUCACUUCGAUUAGUACAGGAAUUGGUUCCUGUGCUACCAGCUUAGGUUCGAACCUGCGGGAUCACACACAUUAGAGGUUCCUAUCUGAUCUGAUGGCUGAUGUAGAAUCGUACAUAUUUGAAACUCAGUGAUUGAG
This 529-nucleotide long non-coding RNA is filed under the name Elaeis guineensis (African oil palm). Its description in RNAcentral is "long non-coding RNA (EGUI_LNC020314)". Lineage: Eukaryota; Viridiplantae; Streptophyta; Magnoliopsida; Arecales; Arecaceae. The record is from RNAcentral.